AUGUGUUCCUUGGAGGGGAGACACGAGGAUCACCCAAGUGGUUUUCCCAGGGUAAGGUUCACCCCUUGCAGUCCGGGUGUGCUGAAACCUGCAGUUUCCCCAAAUGUGGGAAACUCGACUGCAUAAUUUGUGGAAGUGGAGGACUGCACUCGCGCUCUUCCCUG
RNAcentral lists this small nuclear RNA (164 nucleotides) under Crocodylus porosus (Australian saltwater crocodile). RNAcentral's name for it is "U1 spliceosomal RNA (ENSCPRG00005016265.1)". It matches the Rfam family "U1 spliceosomal RNA". From Rfam's summary of the family: U1 is a small nuclear RNA (snRNA) component of the spliceosome (involved in pre-mRNA splicing). Its 5' end forms complementary base pairs with the 5' splice junction, thus defining the 5' donor site of an intron. The record is from Rfam by way of RNAcentral. Lineage: Eukaryota; Metazoa; Chordata; Crocodylia; Crocodylidae.